GGAGGGAGGUUGGUCAUCUCAAAGU
Molecule: small nuclear RNA, 25 nt
Filed under: Arabidopsis thaliana (thale cress)
Lineage: Eukaryota; Viridiplantae; Streptophyta; Magnoliopsida; Brassicales; Brassicaceae
Description: snRNA_06270
Source: RNAcentral